GACGAACGCUGGCGGCGUGCUUAACACAUGCAAGUCGAACGGAAAGGCCCUGCUUUUGUGGGGUGCUCGAUUGGCGAACGGGUGAGUAACACGUGAGUAACCUGCCCUUGACUUUGGGAUAACUUCAGGAAACUGGGGCUAAUACCGGAUAUGAGCUCCUGCUGCAUGGUGGGGGUUGGAAAGUGUCGGCGGUUGGGGAUGGACUCGCGGCUUAUCAGCUUGUUGGUGGGGUAGUGGAUUACCAAGGCUUUGACGGGGAGCCGGCCUGAGAGGGUGACCGGCCACAUAGGGACUGAGAUACGGCCCAGACUCCUACGGGAGGCAGCAGUGGGGAAUAUUGCACAAUGGGCGGAAGCCUGAGGCAGCAACGCCGCGUGCGGGAUGACGGCCUUCGGGUUGUAAACCGCUUUCGCCUGUGACGAAGCGUGAGUGACGGUAAUGGGUAAAGAAGCACCGGCUAACUACGU
Molecule: ribosomal RNA, 467 nt
Filed under: uncultured bacterium
Lineage: Bacteria
Description: partial 16S ribosomal RNA
Rfam family: Bacterial small subunit ribosomal RNA
Source: RNAcentral